This 229-nucleotide ribosomal RNA is filed under the name uncultured bacterium. RNAcentral's name for it is "partial 16S ribosomal RNA". It matches the Rfam family "Bacterial small subunit ribosomal RNA", at positions 568 to 796 of the family's 1533-position model. The record is from RNAcentral.
UCCGUAGGCGGUCUAAUAAGUCAGUGGUGAAAUCCUGCGGCUCAACCGUAGAACUGCCAUUGAUACUGUUAGACUUGAAUAUAGUUGAGGUAGGCGGAAUGUGUUGUGUAGCGGUGAAAUGCUUAGAUAUAACACAGAACACCGAUUGCGAAGGCAGCUUACUAGACUAUUAUUGACGCUGAGGUACGAAAGCGUGGGGAGCGAACAGGAUUAGAUACCCUGGUAGUCC